Molecule: ribosomal RNA, 348 nt
Filed under: Triticum aestivum (bread wheat)
Lineage: Eukaryota; Viridiplantae; Streptophyta; Magnoliopsida; Poales; Poaceae
Description: partial small subunit ribosomal RNA
Source: RNAcentral
AUGGAGGCCGCGCGCAAGGAGGAGGACGGCGGCAGCCGCGGCGACGACAAGCUGCCGCAGGUGGUGUUCGACCGCAUCCUUCGGCGUCAGAUGGUGUACGACGCGCUCAAGCGCGGGGGCGGGGCGGAGGUGCCGUCGUGGGUCCAGCUGCUCACCAUCCUCCUUUCCUUCGGCACGUCGGCGCUCGGCAUCGCCUACUGCUCCUCGUCACAGCCGCACAGAUGCAGCAACUCCCCACAGCCGCACAGAUCCGGCAGCUCCCCACAGCCGCACAGAUCCGGCAGCUCCUCACCGCCACAGUUUCUCUUCCCGCAGCUCCUCCUACUCGAGCAGCUCCUCCGGCGGUAA